Molecule: ribosomal RNA, 433 nt
Filed under: uncultured bacterium
Lineage: Bacteria
Description: partial 16S ribosomal RNA
Rfam family: Bacterial small subunit ribosomal RNA
Source: RNAcentral
CCUACGGGUGGCAGCAGUGGGGAAUAUUGCACAAUGGGGGAAACCCUGAUGCAGCAACGCCGCGUGAGUGAGGAAGUAUUUCGGUAUGUAAAGCUCUAUCAGCAGGGAAUAGAAAAGAAGGUACCUGAAAAAGAAGCCCCGGCUAACUACGUGCCAGCAGCCGCGGUAAUACGUAGGGGGCAAGCGUUAUCCGGAUUUACUGGGUGUAAAGGGAGCGUAGACGGAAAGGCAAGUCAGAAGUGAAAGCCCGGGGCUCAACUCCGUGACUGCUUUUUAAACUGUUGAACUAGAUUGCAGGAGAGGUAAGUGGAAUUCCUAGUGUAGCGGUGAGAUGCGUAGAUAUUAGGAGGAACACCAGUGGCGAAGGCGGCUUCCGACUGACGCUGAAGCACAAAAGCGUGGGGAUCGAACAGGAUUAGAUACCCCUGUAGUC